RNAcentral lists this unclassified non-coding RNA (247 nucleotides) under Hevea brasiliensis (rubber tree). Lineage: Eukaryota; Viridiplantae; Streptophyta; Magnoliopsida; Malpighiales; Euphorbiaceae. The record is from RNAcentral.
GCAGAAGAUGACUACAAUACAAUCAGGGCAACUGCAACUAGAGCUGCUACAGUAAAUAUCAGAGCAGCUAUUGCAUUGGCAGCUAGCCCUGCCCGCUCCCUCGGAUCUCUCUGGUAGUGAUUCCGGAAGUAAAGAACUGUUGCAUAAUACCACAUGAAUGGGAAUACAAAACCAAGUAGCAGGGAAAACCAUCCUAUUCCACAACCAAAGCAAGGAAGAGGUCUGUCAAAGAUCCCCAGCUGAUUGU